ACUCCUACGGGAGGCAGCAGUGGGGAAUUUUGCGCAAUGGGGGAAACCCUGACGCAGCAACGCCGCGUGGAGGAUGAAGUCCCUUGGGAUGUAAACUCCUUCGAUCGGGACGAUAUGACG
RNAcentral lists this ribosomal RNA (120 nucleotides) under uncultured bacterium. Its description in RNAcentral is "partial 16S small subunit ribosomal RNA". It matches the Rfam family "Bacterial small subunit ribosomal RNA", at positions 335 to 455 of the family's 1533-position model. The record is from RNAcentral.